RNAcentral lists this ribosomal RNA (613 nucleotides) under Pichia kluyveri. Its description in RNAcentral is "eukaryotic LSU rRNA". It matches the Rfam family "Eukaryotic large subunit ribosomal RNA", at positions 37 to 668 of the family's 3401-position model. Lineage: Eukaryota; Fungi; Ascomycota; Pichiomycetes; Pichiales; Pichiaceae. The record is from RNAcentral.
UGCAUAUCAAUAAGCGGAGGAAAAGAAACCAACAGGGAUUGCCUCAGUAGCGGCGAGUGAAGCGGCAAGAGCUCAGAUUUGAAAUCUCACCUAGUGUGCGAGUUGUAAAUUGCAGGUUGGAGUCUCGGGUUAGACGUGUGUGCAAGUCCCUUGGAACAGGGUGCCACUGAGGGUGAGAGCCCCGUAGCGUGCAUGUCGACACCUGUGAGGCCCUUCUGACGAGUCGAGUUGUUUGGGAAUGCAGCUCUAAGUGGGUGGUAAAUUCCAUCUAAGGCUAAAUAUUGGCGAGAGACCGAUAGCGAACAAGUACUGUGAAGGAAAGAUGAAAAGCACUUUGAAAAGAGAGUGAAACAGCACGUGAAAUUGUUGAAAGGGAAGGGUAUUGGGCUCGACAUGGGAUUUACGCAUCGUUGCCUCUCGUGGGCGGCGCUCUGGGUUUUUCCUGGGCCAGCAUCGGUUUUCGUUGCAGGAUAAGGACAAUUGGAAUGUGGCUCCUCGGAGUGUUAUAGCCUUUUGUAGAUGCUGCGUAUGGGGACCGAGGGCUGCGGCGGACUCGUUUCGUCUCGGAUGCUGGCACAACGGCGCAAUACCGCCCGUCUUGAACCACGGACCA